CGAACGGGAUCCCAUAGAUUCGUCUAAGGGUGAGAGUGGCGAACGGGUGAGUAACACGUUGGUGACCUGCCCCAGAGAGGGGGACAACCAGUGGAAACGCUGGCUAAUACCCCGGAUGUCAAGGUUUUUAGAAACCCUUGACUGAAGCUCCGGCGCUCUGGGAGGGGCCUGCGGUCCAUCAGCUUGUUGGUAGGGUAACGGCCUACCAAGGCGAAGACGGAUAGGGGGCGUGAGAGCGUGACCCCCCACACUGGUACUGACACACGGACCAGAUACCUGCGGGUAGCAGCAGCAAGGAAUAUUGCCCAAUGGACGAAAGUCUGAGGCAGCAACGCCGCGUGAAGGAAGAAGGCUUUCGGGUUGUAAACUUCUUUUUUGGGGGAAGAGAAAGGACGGUACCCCAAGAAUAAGAUCCGGCUAACUACGUGCCAGCAGCCGCGGUAAAACGUAGGGAUCGAGCGUUAUCCGGAUUUACUGGGCGCAAAGCGCGUGCAGGCGGUUUUCUAAGUCGGACGUGAAAGCUCCUGGCCCAACUGGGAGAGGCCGUUCGAAACUGGAAGACUUGAGGAUGGUAGAGGUAAGUGGAAUUCCCGGUGUAGUGGUGAAAUGCGUAGAUAUCGGGAGGAACACCAGUGGCGAAGGCGGCUUACUGGGCCAUUCCUGACGCUGAGACGCGAAAGCUAGGGGAGAGAACGGGAUUAGAAACCCCGGUAUUCCUAGCCGUAAACGAUGUCAACUAGGUGUAGGGGGUAUCCAACCCCCCUGUGCUGUAGCUAACGCGUUAAGUUGACCGCCUGGGGACUACGGCCGCAAGGCUAAAACUCAAAGGAAUUGACGGGGACCCGCACAAGCAGCGGAGCGUGUGGUUUAAUUCGAGCUACGCGAAGAACCUUACCAGGGUUUGACAUGUACGUGGUAGGAAGGUGUAAGCCGACUGACCCUUCGGGGAGCGUACACAGGUGCUGCAUGGCUGUCGUCAGCUCGUGCCGUGAGGUGUUAGGUUAAGUCCUGUAACGAGCGCAACCCUCGUCGUUAGUUAUACGUGUCUAACGAGACUGCCGGUGAUAAGCCGGAGGAAGGUGGGGAUGACGUCAAGUCAGCAUGGCCUUUAUAUCCUGGGCUACACACACGCUACAAUGGCCGGUACAAUGGGUAGCCAAGCCGCGAGGCGGAGCCAAUCCUUCAAAGCCGGUCUCAGUUCGGAUUGUAGGCUGCAACUCGCCUGCAUGAAGUCGGAGUUGCUAGUAAACGCGCGUCAGCAACAGUGCGUUGAAUACGUUCCCGGGUCUUGUACACACCGCCCGUCACGUCAUGGAAGUUGGCAACGCCUGAAGUCAGUGAGCUAACCCUAACGGGAGGCAGCUGCCCAAGGCGGGGUCGGUAACUGGGACGAAGUCGUAACAAGGUA
Molecule: ribosomal RNA, 1408 nt
Filed under: metagenome
Description: bacterial SSU rRNA
Rfam family: Bacterial small subunit ribosomal RNA
Source: RNAcentral